Long non-coding RNA from Myotis brandtii (Brandt's bat), 719 nucleotides. RefSeq lists it as uncharacterized. The transcript is spliced from 3 exons. NCBI's taxonomy places the organism in Eukaryota, Metazoa, Chordata, Mammalia, Chiroptera, Vespertilionidae. The record is from RefSeq and is a predicted model, not a curated record.
UCUAAUCUGGGUCACAGAACGGUUAAGGCAGCUCUAAGUGGAGGGCAGGGUUUGUUUUAUAUUUUCCUUUCUCUGUUUGCCCUUAGCUUUCCACCAUGAAACUGUGUUGUGGACUCUUUCUCCUGGUGACUACUAUUCAUGUUGAACUCUGUGAAUCAGAAGAGAAGAUUAGGACACAAGUACAGAGAGGGAAGACAUGUGAAGAGAGGAAAGCCAUUGACUAGCCAAAGAAAGAGCCCUCAGAAGAAAUCAACCCUCUCCACACCGUGAUCUUGUACUUCUAUCCUCCAGAAUGGAGAACUGCUGGUAGCCACAUUCUGUUCUAGGAAACAUUUCCAGAAUGGCUGGACCCACAGACACCCCCUGCACUGCCUGGGAUUCCAAUUCUCUGCAUCUUUACCAGCAUUUGUUGCUAUUGUACUUUUUAAUUUUUAGCUACCUGAAGAGCUUAAAUGAGUAGCUCAUUUUAAAAAAUCUUUACAUUGUCUGAUUAUUAAUAAGGGCAAAACCAUGAAUAAUUCACAUGCUACGGCAUUCUACAAAACUGGGGACAAUACUUUGGCCAAGCAUGCACUUCAUUUUGUUCAUCUCUGUAUCUUGGGAAUGUUUUAAACACACCAUUUUGGGAGAACAAGCUUGACUGUUUCUGCCAGUAGAGGUCACUGUCCCUCAGCGGUUCUCCACUAAUGUGUUUCUGUGUUCCCUCCCUCCCUCCCUUC